Molecule: ribosomal RNA, 622 nt
Filed under: uncultured Bacteroidales bacterium
Lineage: Bacteria; Pseudomonadati; Bacteroidota; Bacteroidia; Bacteroidales
Description: bacterial SSU rRNA
Rfam family: Bacterial small subunit ribosomal RNA
Source: RNAcentral
ACACAUGCAAGUCGAGNGGGCAUCAGUUUGGUUUGCUUGCAAACCAAAGCUGGCGACCGGCGCACGGGUGAGUAACACGUAUCCAACCUGCCUCAUACUCGGGGAUAGCCUUUCGAAAGAAAGAUUAAUAUCCGAUAGCAUAUAUUUCCCGCAUGGGUUUUAUAUUAAAGAAAUUCGGUAUGAGAUGGGGAUGCGUUCCAUUAGUUUGUUGGCGGGGUAACGGCCCACCAAGACUACGAUGGAUAGGGGUUCUGAGAGGAAGGUCCCCCACAUUGGAACUGAGACACGGUCCAAACUCCUACGGGAGGCAGCAGUGAGGAAUAUUGGUCAAUGGACGCGAGUCUGAACCAGCCAAGUAGCGUGAAGGAUGACUGCCCUAUGGGUUGUAAACUUCUUUUAUAUGGGAAUAAAGUGGUCCACGUGUGGAUUUUUGUAUGUACCAUAUGAAUAAGGAUCGGCUAACUCCGUGCCAGCAGCCGCGGUAAUACGGAGGAUCCGAGCGUUAUCCGGAUUUAUUGGGUUUAAAGGGAGCGUAGGCGGAUUGUUAAGUCAGUUGUGAAAGUUUGCGGCUCAACCGUAAAAUUGCAGUUGAUACUGGCAGUCUUGAGUGCAGUAGAGGUGG